UGCAAUCCUAGUAUGUUUAUCAUUCAUUAGAACAAUUCAACUUUCAUUUAAACACAAUUGUAUUUAGUUAGUUAAAUCACUUAUAAUUGCAUACGUAAUUUAGUUUAGUUAUAAUUUGCAUCACAACAAACAUCCUUAUUUUUAUUGUUUCGGUUAACGUCAUGGUAAUAGAAAUUGAACUAAAUCAAUUCCUGUGGGACGAUACUUGGACUCAACAUCCA
Molecule: long non-coding RNA, 221 nt
Filed under: Olea europaea (common olive)
Lineage: Eukaryota; Viridiplantae; Streptophyta; Magnoliopsida; Lamiales; Oleaceae
Description: long non-coding RNA (OEUR_LNC000101)
Source: RNAcentral